UGAACGCUAGCGACAGGCCUAACACAUGCAAGUCAGGGGCAGCACAAGGAGCAAUCUGAGGUGGCGACCGGCGCACGGGUGAGUAACACGUAUGCAACCUGCCUGUAAGCGGGGAAUAACCCGUUGAAAGACGGACUAAUACCGCAUAAUACUAAAUUACUGCAUGGUAAUUUAUUUAAACAUUUAUGGCUUACAGAUGGGCAUGCGCAUGAUUAGCUAGUUGGAGAGGUAACGGCUCCCCAAGGCAACGAUCAUUAGGGGUUCUGAGAGGAAGGUCCCCCACACUGGUACUGAGACACGGACCAGACUCCUACGGGAGGCAGCAGUGAGGAAUAUUGGUCAAUGGACGAGAGUCUGAACCAGCCAAGUCGCGUGCAGGAAGAAUGUCCUUAAUGGAUUGUAAACUGCUUUUGCAGGGGAAUAAAGUGCAUCACGUGUGAUGUUUUGUAUGUACUCUGCGAAUAAGGAUCGGCUAACUCCGUGCCAGCAGCUGC
This 494-nucleotide ribosomal RNA is filed under the name uncultured bacterium. Its description in RNAcentral is "bacterial SSU rRNA". It matches the Rfam family "Bacterial small subunit ribosomal RNA", at positions 30 to 518 of the family's 1533-position model. The record is from RNAcentral.